GCCUUUCAACUUAAGGAAAACAAACUUAACUUUCUUGUCCUCGGAUAACUCUUUCCAUUCAAAGAACUAUUCUAUUUUAUCUAACCAAUCUAUGAAUUCCUCAGAUUGUAAUCUACCCUCAAACUCACUUACAUGCAUCUUAAUGCCCUGAUCCCAUUGAGAAAUGUUUCUUUGAUUUUGGGGAAGCAGGUUUCUUCUAGCUAGUAAAGUACGAGUGUCAAAAUCAGUGUCACUCUCAAAAUCUUCCCUUCUUUCAUUUUGUCGUUGCAUGAUUAAAAUUUGUAACAUUUGUUGAAUAUUAUUCAUUUGUUCUUGCAUGUCUCUCAUGUAUGUUUGCAAUCUUUGAUAUGCUUCUUUCCAAUCUCGAGAUUCUUCCCUGCCAUUACUAAGAUGCUAUCAGGUUGAUCAAUGUAGUGGUUGAUGUUUUGAAAGUUUUUUUUUUUUUAAAAUGAUCAAACCAAAACAAGCAUUCUCAAGGAAAGAACUUGCUCUGGUAUUAAAAUUUUGAAAACUAUUUUUUUUUUUUUGUAGAAUUCUAGAGAACUUCAAUCACCAUAAGCAAAAUAGUAAAUUAAAUUUUUAGCAAGAAAGUGAUAGUAAAAUCCAACUAAGAGCAACACAAAGAUGAUAGGAAGCAUACUAUAUAAGAAACAAUAAUAUUACUCAACUAAACUGCUUAUAAAUAUUCCAACAAAAGUAGUAAGUUUAAUCCUAUCGGGCAUAAAACUCUUAAUUUUUGAUUGAUUCAGUAAGGGUUGACAAUAGUGGAGGGAUAGCUGAAAAAUAAUGAUACCUGGGAUAAGGAGAGGUUAGGAUUCAAGAGGGACAUAGUGUACCGAUCGCGUGACUACGGGAGAUCCACGAUUGACGAGGAUAGCGGCCACACAAUGGGUAGAAUUUCAGCAAAAGGGGAAGGAAGAGAGGGGCAGCAAUCCAGAAGAAGUGUUAAUGAAGAAGAAGAAGCCAACAACACCGCAAGAAAGAAGCGACACGAUCAAUAGGAGAAAGGAAGAAGAUAAGAGGUCAAUAGAAAAUUUUUAUUCUUCAAAAAUCUCACCUCCCAAGCUUCAACAUUUAGAUAUUUAUAAUGCCAAAAAUCAGCCUCAUAUUGAUUUCUAUUGUCUUUUCAUUUUUCAAGACAGCACUGCAUUAAAAAUCAGCUUGUCUCUUCAUUUUUCCAAGGCAGCACCGCAUUAAAAAUCAGCUUAUCUCUUGUCUUUUCAUUUUCUCCAAAACACCGACUCCAAAAGGUCAAAAGAUGAAAGAGAAGAGGAGGCAUUAACUUCAGCCCAUUACUCCUCCAUUUACUCCAAGGCACAUGCUCCAAAAGUCAAAAGGUGCAAAAAAAAAAGAAGACAUUAAGUUCAGCCAUGUUGGUUUUGGAUUUUGGAGAUAAUUUUGAUGGAUGAUAGGUUUAGGUUAACUGAACCAACUAAAACUAAUUGUCUCAAGCCCAAAUUAGACACAAACUCACAAAACAAAAAGAAAUUUGCAUGCAAUAAAAUAAGAAAUGAUGAUUGUAGCACUAAUGGCUGCAUCAGAUUCACAUCCACAGAUGAAUCUAAUGCAAGCUACAGAGAUCCAUUUAUAGAUUGAAGUGGAGUUAGAACAUGCGCAUUGAUAAAAAAAUCAAAACGUAUGGCUUCAUUAAGAACGGAAAGGAGCCUUGUGUCUACAAAUGGACUAAUGAUUCUGUAGUCAUAUUUCUUGUAUUGUAUGUGAAUGACAUUCUCUUAAUUGGGAAUGACAUCCCUGCAUUACAAAAUGUGAAACUCUAGCUGUCAUCACAAUUUUCCAUGAAGGAUUUGGAAGAAGCAUCCUACAUCUUAGGGAUGAAGAUCUAUAGAGGUAGAUCUAAAAAGUUGCUUCGAUUGUUCCAGUCCACAUAUAUUGAUACCAUGCUGAAAUGGUUCAGCAUGACGAAUUUCGAAAGAGACUAUCUACCGAUAGGCCGAGGAAUAACUCUCUAAAAAGGAUUGUCCGACAACUUCACAAGAAAGCGUAUAAAUAGAAUCCUAUAUGCCUCAGCAGUGGGAUCUAUCAUGUAUGCCAUGAUAUGUACGAGACCGAAUGUGGCAUACUCACUAGGGGUAGCGAGUAGAUAUCAGUCUAAUCCAGAUGAAAAGCAUUGAAAAGUUAUAAAAACAAUCCUUAAGUAUUUAAAAAAUACUAAGGACCAAUGGUUUGUUUAUGGAGAUACUGACUUAAAACUUGUGGAAAUACAUAUUUCAGUUUUCAAUCAAACCAUAAUAACAGCAAAAGUGUCUGGUUAUAUUUUACCUUGUAUAGCGGGAUGAUAUGCUAAAACAAUUCCAAGCAACACACAAUAGCUGGCUCUGUAUGCGAAACGGAAUACAAUGCGACAUUCGAUGCUGUCAAAAAAGCUGUUUAGUUAAGAAAGUUCACCAGUGAGCUCGGGGUGGUUCCCUCCGUUAAUGGUCAAUUCUAUCAUUUUGUGAUAGUACUAAAGUCAUUGCUCAAGCAAAAGAAUCCAAGUCCCUACAGAGAACCAAAUACAUUCUAUGUCGUCAUCACCUUGUUCAAAAGAUCGUUGAUAGAGGCGAUAUUAAUCUACAGAAGAUCGAUGGAAAAAAAAACCUGACCGACCUCUUCACUAAAACCCUCGAAAUCAAAGAGUUCGAUGAUCACAAAUAGAAGAUCGAUAUUAGAUACAAAUCUGAUUGACUUUAGUACAACUGGGAGUUAUUGGGAUUAUCCUAAAGCCAAUUAUCUAACAGUAGACAGUUGUGUAUUUAUAUAUGAAUUGUAAAUAAAUUAAUAAAUGUUAUUUGGCAGUUCAUCAUAUUUUGCAUCUUAUAAAACUCUUAUUAUUAUUAUGAAGUCCUUAGAACUAUUAACAAUCGAUAAAAGUGACAAGGAUUUAUCGAGUUCUUAAAUUUUGUUCGUAACCAAAUGUUAUAUUAUUAAUAGGACGAUAACGUUUAUGAAGUAUAGAUUGUUGUAUGCUAUAUGAGUUGGUUGUGCUAGUAACCAAAGAGUGUGAAGACACUAGUAUGGCAUGCAGAUGAAUGUAAAAAUACAUUUUCACUGAACGUGACUCAGCUACAGAGCGCUCUACUGUUAAGAGCAACUCGUGAAGGAUAUGGGUAUAAGUAUCCCUCCGACCUGAGAUCACCACAGUGACUUGCAAGCAACUCAGUCAAGUACCUACAAAGUCUGUGAAUCAAAAUGGAAUUGACCACUCCAGAUUUUAAGAAAUAAUGCUUCACUGUGUUUCAAUUCGGUAAUACUUUGGUCAAGAUAAUCCUUAAAAUCAGCCAUAGAAAUUAUAAGAUUGAAAUAUAAUAUGGAUGACUGAUUAAGAGUUUGAUAGUUUACUCUGAGAUCAUCCUAAGCAUUGAAGGUCAAAGGAAUGAAUUAUACAGUAACCAUAUGACAAGAUUCUUGAAUGUUGCCUUACAAUAAUUCGACCCAUCCAGACAUCGGGUAUCAUUGCUAGAUGAUCACUUUGAUUAGUACAUGAAUUAGUUCCUAUACUACUGACUUAAUGUUUGAACCUGUGAAGUCAUGCACAUUAUCAAGCAACGUGGAAAGGGUUUGACCUAAGAUCUAUAUGUUCAAUUUGGAAGUAGGUGACUUGAUUGAACAAAUAAAUUUACUUAAUUGAGAAUUAACUUCUAGAUCAUACGGAAUUAAAUACUGACUAUGUCUAGCUAGCACUGGGUAUUAGCUGCAAGAUUAAUUCCAGGGAUGAACUUAAAUUAAUCUGUAAUCCAAAGAAUUUGAGAGGAUUGGAUUCGAGUCCUAAUUAAUUUAAAUUAGAUUUAAUUUAAUUAGGCUUGAUUUAAGGCUAAUUGGGUUUAAUUAUCCAAAUUGGACUUGGAUCUCAAUCUUAAUUAGAUUAGGAUUGACAGUCUUUUUGAAUUUGAUUCGAAUCGGAUUCGAAUUGGAUUCGAAUUGAAUCCAAAUUGGAACCAAAUUGAAAUUGAUCACCUAAGCCUAAAAUCCCUGGGUUUCUCUCUCCUUAUUGGUCGAACAAGUGGAAGGAGGGGUGCUGAAAAUCCCGCCUCCUUCCCUUCGUGCACGUGAAAGCAUAAGUGGCGCCUUCCCUUAUCUCUUUGGGUUUCAAAUUAUGGAUAAGAACUAAUUCAAAACCAAAUUCAAAUUUGAUUUUGAAUUAGUUUGAAUUAAGUUCUUAUCACCAAGGGGUGAUGGAACAGAUUUUGUGCAACAAAAUUAAUAAGAAGGGGCGUGAAGGGGCAUGGAAGAGAGAUGCUUGUCAUUCUUCUUAGAAAGUUGGCUUCCCGUGUGUCCUGAUCUCCACGUCCUCUUGCUUCCCUUACAAAGUGGUGACGCCCCUGGGUCUUCAUCCUCCUUUUCUGCGAAGCGUGGCGUGCAUGCGAAGUAAAGGAGCCGCACGAGCAGCUCUAGCAAAGUGACUUCUUACUGUCCUGAUCAAGUUUCUUUCGCUUCCGUCGAGGUAUAGAACAAUCAGCUGCCUCAAGGCAUUAUUUGACGUACAUAAUCCACUUCUAGAAUAUUUGCUCAUUCUCCAAAAUGGAACACUAAAGCAAGGUUGGAAGAACCACUACUGACUGGUAUGCUGGCCAACAACUGGCACAUUACGGUACCAGUCCGUACCUUCUGGGACCACAGAGAGGGAGAGGGAGAUGGCUAGAGAAGGAAAGCUAGGGUCUUGAGCUCGACAGUAGGUGAAUUGACUGGUUCUCAAAAACACUAGCUGAGGUUUCGAGGGAGGGAGAGAGAGGGGAGACUUACUAGACGUGCUAGUGGCAAAGUGAAUGAGGGGUUGCUCAAGUCUUAAACAAUUGAACAGAAUGGGGCUGCUCAAGUCUCAAACGAUCAAAUGGAAGGAGGGGGAGCUGGAUCUUAAAUGAUUGAACAAAGUGAUCAAAGUCAUCCGCCCAUCGAAUGGAGGGCAUACCUAUCGAUUGGCAAGGGCAAUGAGAACAAGACAAGCACGACCACAAGAGAUUUUUUUUUUUGUGGGGGGGGGU
RNAcentral lists this long non-coding RNA (4979 nucleotides) under Elaeis guineensis (African oil palm). RNAcentral describes it as "long non-coding RNA (EGUI_LNC052909)". The record is from RNAcentral. Lineage: Eukaryota; Viridiplantae; Streptophyta; Magnoliopsida; Arecales; Arecaceae.